GUUGUAAUUAUCUCUGCCCUGCUUAUCAGGGUAAUCCUCUUUUGGGUUCAGAUGAAAAGCGAGAUGAAUACUCCCUUGACGUUGGAAGAAGGGUUGAAGAAAAUAGAAGAUGCCAUUGCAAGGAAGAGGUUGAUCUCUGAUGCCCAGUGUGUCACUCCAUUUACUACCGCAGAAAAUAUGCUGAUAUACGAUUGUGUUUACAAGCUGUGCACCCAGAAGCGUAACUACGCAGAGCAUAUUUAUGAGAAAUAUGUGAGCUGUUUAGAAGAGAGAAUUAUGGAAAAGGUAAUUCCAAGAUUGUUGGGCAAACAUGGGGUAGCGCUGUUGAAAGAAGUAACACAAUCUUGGUCAGAGUUUAAGGCCUUUGCAGACUCUAUAUAUAAGUUCUUUGAAUUCUUGGAUCGUUUCUAUGCUCCAAGGAAAGGACUUCUAUAUAUUGCUGAUGCCCCAAAACAUUACUAUGGCAAUCAGGUUUGCGAGAGGCUAUAUGGAAAAAUUCAGGAAGCUGCGAUAAGCUUGAUUAUUGAAGAUCGUGAGGGGAAGGAUAUUGAUCGAAAUCUGCUCAAAGCUGUGCUUUGUUUAUUUAUAGGAUUAGGAGGCAAAGGAACCACAAAUUAUUAUGAAAAAUUUGAGCAGAUAAUGCUGGCAGAAACUGCAGCUUACUACUCUGAGUUGUCCAUGGAGUGGUGGUUUUGGCGCGAUUCAUUAACUUCCUACCUGCGCAAGGUUGAUUGGUGCUUAGUUCAGGAGGAAGCCAGAGCAGAAGUUUAUCCUUGCAAGACAACAAAAACAAAAUUACUGGAGGUUAUGAAAUAUAUAUUGCUGGAACGAAAUGCCAAGAGAUGGGCUCAGAAGCAAAAGGCUAAUGGGGUAGCAGCUGAAGAUCAGGAACUUCUGUCGAAGUAUGCUAGCUUAAGCCUUGAUAUAGGUAGCAGUGCUUCUGUGGCCACGGCAACAGACCAUUGAUUUUUGCACUUAAAAGGGUUUUUAUUGCAGAGCAUCUUUUUGCUGCAGGCCUUGUGUGGAAUAUGGUUCUGGUAGUUUAUGUAUUAGUGCAAGUACAUAUGGUUUGUAAUAACUAAACGAGCUACUGAUACAAUGGUGUAUAGGGCAAACCAGAAUUUAAAUUUAAC
Molecule: unclassified non-coding RNA, 1133 nt
Filed under: Hevea brasiliensis (rubber tree)
Lineage: Eukaryota; Viridiplantae; Streptophyta; Magnoliopsida; Malpighiales; Euphorbiaceae
Source: RNAcentral